This 1515-nucleotide ribosomal RNA is filed under the name Enterococcus faecium. RNAcentral's name for it is "bacterial SSU rRNA". It matches the Rfam family "Bacterial small subunit ribosomal RNA". Lineage: Bacteria; Bacillati; Bacillota; Bacilli; Lactobacillales; Enterococcaceae. The record is from RNAcentral.
GUGCCUAAUACAUGCAAGUCGAACGCUUCUUUUUCCACCGGAGCUUGCUCCACCGGAAAAAGAGGAGUGGCGAACGGGUGAGUAACACGUGGGUAACCUGCCCAUCAGAAGGGGAUAACACUUGGAAACAGGUGCUAAUACCGUAUAACAAUCGAAACCGCAUGGUUUUGAUUUGAAAGGCGCUUUCGGGUGUCGCUGAUGGAUGGACCCGCGGUGCAUUAGCUAGUUGGUGAGGUAACGGCUCACCAAGGCCACGAUGCAUAGCCGACCUGAGAGGGUGAUCGGCCACAUUGGGACUGAGACACGGCCCAAACUCCUACGGGAGGCAGCAGUAGGGAAUCUUCGGCAAUGGACGAAAGUCUGACCGAGCAACGCCGCGUGAGUGAAGAAGGUUUUCGGAUCGUAAAACUCUGUUGUUAGAGAAGAACAAGGAUGAGAGUAACUGUUCAUCCCUUGACGGUAUCUAACCAGAAAGCCACGGCUAACUACGUGCCAGCAGCCGCGGUAAUACGUAGGUGGCAAGCGUUGUCCGGAUUUAUUGGGCGUAAAGCGAGCGCAGGCGGUUUCUUAAGUCUGAUGUGAAAGCCCCCGGCUCAACCGGGGAGGGUCAUUGGAAACUGGGAGACUUGAGUGCAGAAGAGGAGAGUGGAAUUCCAUGUGUAGCGGUGAAAUGCGUAGAUAUAUGGAGGAACACCAGUGGCGAAGGCGGCUCUCUGGUCUGUAACUGACGCUGAGGCUCGAAAGCGUGGGGAGCAAACAGGAUUAGAUACCCUGGUAGUCCACGCCGUAAACGAUGAGUGCUAAGUGUUGGAGGGUUUCCGCCCUUCAGUGCUGCAGCUAACGCAUUAAGCACUCCGCCUGGGGAGUACGACCGCAAGGUUGAAACUCAAAGGAAUUGACGGGGGCCCGCACAAGCGGUGGAGCAUGUGGUUUAAUUCGAAGCAACGCGAAGAACCUUACCAGGUCUUGAUCCGCAUGGAAGGGCCAUCGCUCAACGGAUAAAAGCUACCCUGGGGAUAACAGGCUUAUCUCCCCAAGAGUGCUCGUGUCGUGAGAUGUUGGGUUAAGUCCCGCAACGAGCGCAACCCUUAUUGUUAGUUGCCAUCAUUCAGUUGGGCACUCUAGCAAGACUGCCGGUGACAAACCGGAGGAAGGUGGGGAUGACGUCAAAUCAUCAUGCCCCUUAUGACCUGGGCUACACACGUGCUACAAUGGGAAGUACAACGAGUUGCGAAGUCGCGAGGCUAAGCUAAUCUCUUAAAGCUUCUCUCAGUUCGGAUUGCAGGCUGCAACUCGCCUGCAUGAAGCCGGAAUCGCUAGUAAUCGCGGAUCAGCACGCCGCGGUGAAUACGUUCCCGGGCCUUGUACACACCGCCCGUCACACCACGAGAGUUUGUAACACCCGAAGUCGGUGAGGUAACCUUUUGGAGCCAGCCGCCUAAGGUGGGAUAGAUGAUUGGGGUGAAGUCGUAACAAGGUAGCCGUAUCGGAAGGUGCGGCUGGAUCACCUCCUUU